AUGAUCUGUGUCAUUUUUAUUCUGCCUUCAGGGAAAGUGAUGAAGAAAUGGCUAUAUCUCAUAGAGAAUGAGAGAAGUUUUGCAGAAAAUGGCUGGAGAAAGGUCAAAUUUUCCCGCAACCUCACAAUCCUUCUCAGAGUUAGUGCAGCGCAGUUAGCGGCACGCCAAAUUUACAAGCCAGGAGAGUUUGACAUCAGUGGGAGUCGUCUCAUAAAGGAGCGUACAACGUGACUCCAGAAGAGAGACGUGAAUUCCUCAAGCUCUUUGUAAAAUAAACAAAAUGUUGAUGUUUGUGGUGAGUUGAAC
RNAcentral lists this long non-coding RNA (306 nucleotides) under Anser cygnoides (Swan goose). RNAcentral's name for it is "lncRNA (ENSACDG00005018459.1)". The record is from RNAcentral. Lineage: Eukaryota; Metazoa; Chordata; Aves; Anseriformes; Anatidae.